Molecule: unclassified non-coding RNA, 313 nt
Filed under: Hevea brasiliensis (rubber tree)
Lineage: Eukaryota; Viridiplantae; Streptophyta; Magnoliopsida; Malpighiales; Euphorbiaceae
Source: RNAcentral
GGGUGGCAUUCUAAAAAGGUCUGCAACUUCGUUUAGAAGACAAGGAUCAUCAGGGUUGGUUUGGGAUGACAAGUUCUUAUCAGGAGAGUUGAAGCAAAACAAAGAUAACGUAAAAAGUACUACAAGAUCAUCAAAUGGAAAGAUGCAACGUAGUCGAUCCGAGGGAGGAGCUAUCUACCGGACGGUGAAGGUUUCUUCAUCACCAAACGACAACGUCGACCCUCCAUCUCCUAAAGUCUCAGGCUGUGGGUGUAUUUUUGGCAAACCAGUUUCCACCCAUCAACGAAAAUCUUGUAAGCGUUAAUUAUUAUUA